AGCGAACGCUGGCGGCAGGCUUAACACAUGCAAGUCGAGCGGGCACUCUCGGGUGUCAGCGGCGGACGGGUGAGUAACGCGUGGAAAGUGCCCUGUGGUUCGGAAUAACUCAGGGAAACUUGAACUAAUACCCGAUACGGCCUUUUGGGGAAAGGCUUUCUUACCGAGGAGCGGCCCGCGUCUGGUUAGCUUGUUGGUGAGGUAAAGGCUCAUCCACGCGACGUUCAGUAGCUGGUUUGAGAGGAUGAUCCGCCACACUGGGACCGAGACACGGCCCAGACUCCUACGGGAGGCAGCAGUGGGGAAUAUUGGACAAUGGGCGCAAGCCUGAUCCAGCCAUGCCGGGUGAGUGAUGAAGGCCGUAGGGUUGUAAAGCUCUUUUAUCCGGGACGAUAAUGACGGUACCGGAGGAAUAAGCCCCGGCUAACUUCGUG
This 434-nucleotide ribosomal RNA is filed under the name uncultured bacterium. RNAcentral's name for it is "partial 16S ribosomal RNA". It matches the Rfam family "Bacterial small subunit ribosomal RNA", at positions 29 to 507 of the family's 1533-position model. The record is from RNAcentral.